Molecule: ribosomal RNA, 429 nt
Filed under: Gemmatimonadota bacterium
Lineage: Bacteria; Pseudomonadati; Gemmatimonadota
Description: Gemmatimonadetes bacterium partial 16S ribosomal RNA
Rfam family: Bacterial small subunit ribosomal RNA
Source: RNAcentral
UAGGGAAUCUUCGGCAAUGGACGAAAGUCUGACCGAGCAACGCCGCGUGAGUGAAGAAGGUUUUCGGAUCGUAAAACUCUGUUGUUAGAGAAGAACAAGGACGUUAGUAACUGAACGUCCCCUGACGGUAUCUAACCAGAAAGCCACGGCUAACUACGUGCCAGCAGCCGCGGUAAUACGUAGGUGGCAAGCGUUGUCCGGAUUUAUUGGGCGUAAAGCGAGCGCAGGCGGUUUCUUAAGUCUGAUGUGAAAGCCCCCGGCUCAACCGGGGAGGGUCAUUGGAAACUGGGAGACUUGAGUGCAAAAGAGGAGAGUGGAAUUCCAUGUGUAGCGGUGAAAUGCGUAGAUAUAUGGAGGAACACUAGUGGCCAAGGCGGCUCUCUGGUCUGUAACUGACGCUGAGGCUCGAAAGCGUGGGGAGCAAACAGG